AGCAGUCGCCGCGGUAAUACGUAGGUGGCAAGCGUUGUCCGGAAUUAUUGGGCGUAAAGGGCUCGCAGGCGGUUUCUUAAGUCUGAUGUGAAAGCCCCCGGCUCAACCGGGGAGGGUCAUUGGGAACUGGGAAACUUGAGUGCAGAAGAGGAGAGUGGAAUUCCACGUGUAGCGGUGAAAUGCGUAGAGAUGUGGAGGAACACCAGUGGCGAAGGCGACUCUCUGGUCUGUAACUGACGCUGAGGAGCGAAAGCGUGGGGAGCGAACAGGAUUAGAUACCCGAGUAGUCCCUGUCUCUUAUAA
This 303-nucleotide ribosomal RNA is filed under the name uncultured bacterium. Its description in RNAcentral is "partial 16S ribosomal RNA". It matches the Rfam family "Bacterial small subunit ribosomal RNA", at positions 507 to 809 of the family's 1533-position model. The record is from RNAcentral.